Molecule: ribosomal RNA, 373 nt
Filed under: uncultured organism
Description: partial 16S ribosomal RNA
Rfam family: Bacterial small subunit ribosomal RNA
Source: RNAcentral
GGGGGGGCAAGCGUUUGUUCGGAAUUACUGGGCGUAAAGGGCGUGUAGGCGGUCCUGCAAGUCUUUCGUGAAAUCCCACAGCUCAACUGUGGAACUGCGAGGGAAACUGCAGGACUUGAGUCCGGGAGAGGAGAGUGGAAUUCCCAGUGUAGCGGUGAAAUGCGUAGAUAUUGGGAGGAACACCGGUGGCGAAGGCGGCUCUCUGGACCGGUACUGACGCUGAGGCGCGAAAGCUAGGGGAGCAAACGGGAUUAGAUACCCCGGGUAGUCCUAGCCUUAAACGAUGAGCACUUGGUGUGGCGGGUAUCGACCCCCUGCCGUGCCGAAGCUAACGCAUUAAGUGCUCCGCCUGGGGAGUACGGUCGCAAGGCUG